Lolium perenne is the source of this 653-nucleotide long non-coding RNA. RefSeq lists it as uncharacterized. The record is from RefSeq and is a predicted model, not a curated record. Lineage: Eukaryota; Viridiplantae; Streptophyta; Magnoliopsida; Poales; Poaceae.
CUCCUCCACGGUUUCCUCUCCACCGUCCCCCGCACACCCAGCCACCCAGCCAGGUUUUUACCCUGGUUUCCUCUCCCAGUCUUCGUCUUCCUCUCCCGAGUCCUGACCUGACCUACCUCUACCUCCAGCAAGCUCCAAUAAUCCCUCCCACCCGAUGCGCCUCCAAGAACCACCUCCUGAGACAGCUCUGCCCUAGGCUGCCGCGCGCCUUUAGCUCAGCGUCUCGCCGCCUCUCGGCCCCGUCGCCGCCAUGGACGUGUCGCUGCUGCCUCAACACCGCCGCUCGUCAAUCCAGCACAAUCGACAGGGGGCUGGAAAGGCUGAUGCGUCCUCCUCUUCUCGGUGCCUUUUUGGUGCAUUGCUGGGCACCAGCUCUGCUCUGCUCUGCUCAGAUCUCAUGUUCAUCGCUCACCUGUCUUAUCCAUAAAGAAACUGAGAAAGCUCAUUUUGUAGCAUAAAUGAAACAUUUGAGGUUUGUCAUUUCAAGCAUCAGACCAGGCUUUAAUUUAUUAUAUAGGAUAAACCUGAGUACUGCAGAGGAUUCACUGAGGAAGUGCAAAUAUUAUUUUGGGAGAGAAUAGACAAAAUCACUGGUUAGAAAGACAAGAUUUCAUUAACCACUUAAGGUCUAGAGAGGCCUCAGGCUCUGCUCA